UCAUAAUCCAUCUGCCUCGGCCUCCCAAAGUGCUGGGAUUAUAGGCGUGAGCCACCACGCCCAGCUGAUAGAAAUUUUAAAGUUAAAAGAUUAUAACUGUCAUUCUGUUACCGAAGUACUAUAUAAAUUACCUUCUCAAA
Molecule: long non-coding RNA, 140 nt
Organism: Homo sapiens (human)
Lineage: Eukaryota; Metazoa; Chordata; Mammalia; Primates; Hominidae
Source: Ensembl